UGCGCCUUGCCAGCCCGCUCAGAAACUUAAAGGAAUUGACGGGACCCCGCACAAGCGGUGGAUCAUGUUGUUUAAUUCGAUGAUACGCGAAGAACCUUACCAGGUCUUGACAUCCCCCGCGAUGCUUUAGAGAUAAAGCGGAGGUAUUCGGGGAGACAGGUGGUGCAUGGUUGUCGUCAGCUCGUGUCGUGAGAUGUUGGGUUAAGUCCCGCAACGAGCGCAACCCCUAUUGCUAGUUACCAUCAUUAAGUUGGGGACUCUAGCGAGACUGCCAGUGAUAAACUGGAGGAAGGUGGGGAUGACGUCAAAUCAUCAUGCCCCUUAUGACCUGGGCUACAAACGUGAUACAAUGGCUGGAACAAAGGGAUGCGAAGCAGUGAUGUGGAGCGAAACCCAUAAAAACAGUCUCAGUUCGGAUUGAAGUCCGCAACUCGACUUCAUGAAGUCGGAAUCGCUAGUAAUCGCGGAUCAGAACGCCGCGGUGAAUACGUUCUCGGGGUUU
Molecule: ribosomal RNA, 502 nt
Filed under: uncultured Acholeplasma sp.
Lineage: Bacteria; Bacillati; Mycoplasmatota; Mollicutes; Acholeplasmatales; Acholeplasmataceae
Description: bacterial SSU rRNA
Rfam family: Bacterial small subunit ribosomal RNA
Source: RNAcentral